GGGCCCGUAGCUCAGCUGGGAGAGCGCCACACUCGCAUUGUGGAGGCCACCGGUUCGAUCCCGGUCGGGUCCACCA
RNAcentral lists this transfer RNA (76 nucleotides) under Candidatus Omnitrophota bacterium. Its description in RNAcentral is "tRNA-Ala". It matches the Rfam family "tRNA". From Rfam's summary of the family: Transfer RNA (tRNA) molecules are approximately 80 nucleotides in length. Their secondary structure includes four short double-helical elements and three loops (D, anti-codon, and T loops). Lineage: Bacteria; Pseudomonadati; Candidatus Omnitrophota. RNAcentral also lists the same sequence under 1 other name. The record is from RNAcentral.